Long non-coding RNA from Salvia miltiorrhiza (redroot sage), 287 nucleotides. RefSeq lists it as uncharacterized. Lineage: Eukaryota; Viridiplantae; Streptophyta; Magnoliopsida; Lamiales; Lamiaceae. The record is from RefSeq and is a predicted model, not a curated record. The transcript has 2 exons.
AAAAAGUAGAUAAACCUCACAGGGUCAAUGAUAAUAUAACAUAAUCCGAAUCUAGAUUGAAUUAACUUAAAAGGUUACAUAAAGAAACAUAGCAUGUCUUGAAUGAUGAAAAUGAAAACACGAAACCAGAAUCCAUUCCAUUCUAUCAAGAAUAUGUUCCUCAAUCGCCCUUUCUCCGGAAGGAGCAGCCCUCGGUGAGCCUGGCACGGCCGCCAGUCGGUUGGCACAGCACCGUCUGGCAAUUUCCGCACACAACAACUGUUUGGGAGUGGCUGAACACAGUGGUU